This 434-nucleotide ribosomal RNA is filed under the name uncultured bacterium. Its description in RNAcentral is "bacterial SSU rRNA". It matches the Rfam family "Bacterial small subunit ribosomal RNA", at positions 27 to 452 of the family's 1533-position model. The record is from RNAcentral.
GGAUGAACGCUGGCGGCGUGCCUAACACAUGCAAGUCGAACGGACUUUUUCAUGAAGCCUAGCGAUUGAAAAGUUAGUGGCGGACGGGUGAGUAACGCGUGGGUAACCUGCCUUGUACUGGGGGACAACAGUUGGAAACGACUGCUAAUACCGCAUAAGCGCACAGCUUCGCAUGAAGCAGUGUGAAAAACUCCGGUGGUACAAGAUGGACCCGCGUCUGAUUAGCUGGUUGGUGAGGUAACGGCCCACCAAGGCGACGAUCAGUAGCCGGCCUGAGAGGGUGAACGGCCACAUUGGGACUGAGACACGGCCCAAAACUCCUACGGGAGGCAGCAGUGGGGAAUAUUGCACAAUGGGGGAAACCCUGAUGCAGCAACGCCGCGUGAGUGAAGAAGUAUUUCGGUAUGUAAAGCUCUAUCAGCAGGAAGAAAAUG